GACGAACGCUGGCGGCGUGCUUAACACAUGCAAGUCGAACGGAAAGGCCCUGCUUUUGUGGGGUGCUCGAGUGGCGAACGGGUGAGUAACACGUGAGUAACCUGCCCUUGACUUUGGGAUAACUUCAGGAAACUGGGGCUAAUACCGGAUAGGAGCUCCUGCUGCAUGGUGGGGGUUGGAAAGUUUCGGCGGUUGGGGAUGGACUCGCGGCUUAUCAGCUUGUUGGUGGGGUAGUGGCUUACCAAGGCUUUGACGGGUAGCCGGCCUGAGAGGGGGACCGGCCACAUGGGGACUGAGGUACGGCCCAGACGCCUACGGGAGGCAGCAGUGGGGAAUAUUGCACAAUGGGCGGAAGCCUGAUGCAGCAACGCCGCGUGCGGGAUGACGGCCUUCGGGUUGUAAACCGCUUUCGCCUGUGACGAAGCGUGAGUGACGGUAAUGGAUAAAGAAGCACCGGCUAACUACGUG
This 468-nucleotide ribosomal RNA is filed under the name uncultured bacterium. Its description in RNAcentral is "partial 16S ribosomal RNA". It matches the Rfam family "Bacterial small subunit ribosomal RNA", at positions 28 to 507 of the family's 1533-position model. The record is from RNAcentral.